RNAcentral lists this ribosomal RNA (253 nucleotides) under uncultured bacterium. RNAcentral's name for it is "partial 16S ribosomal RNA". It matches the Rfam family "Bacterial small subunit ribosomal RNA", at positions 524 to 776 of the family's 1533-position model. The record is from RNAcentral.
UACGUAGGCAGCAAACGUUGUUCGGAGUUACUGGGCGUAAAGAGUACGUAGGCGGUUUGCCAAGUUUGGUGUGAAAUCUCCUGGCUUAACUGGGAGGGUGCGCCGAAUACUGGCGGGCUUGAGUAUUGGAGAGGAAAGCGGAAUUCCUGGUGUAGCGGUGAAAUGCGUAGAUAUCAGGAGGAACACCGGUGGUGUAGACGGCUUUCUGGACCGUAACUGACGCUGAGACACGAAAGCGUGGGUAGCAAACAGG